UGAGGAAUUUUGGACAAUGGGCGAAAGCCUGAUCCAGCAAUGCCGCGUGUGUGAAGAAGGCCUUCGGGUUGUAAAGCACUUUUGUCCGGAAAGAAAUGGCUCUGGUUAAUACCUGGGGUCGAUGACGGUACCGGAAGAAUAAGGACCGGCUAACUACGUGCCAGCAGCCGCGGUAAUACGUAGGGUCCAAGCGUUAAUCGGAAUUACUGGGCGUAAAGCGUGCGCAGGCGGUUGUGCAAGACCGAUGUGAAAUCCCCGAGCUUAACUUGGGAAUUGCAUUGGUGACUGCACGGCUAGAGUGUGUCAGAGGGGGGUAGAAUUCCACGUGUAGCAGUGAAAUGCGUAGAGAUGUGGAGGAAUACCGAUGGCGAAGGCAGCCCCCUGGGAUAACACUGACGCUCAUGCACGAAAGCGUGGGGAGCAAACAGGAUUAGAUACCCUGGUAGUCCACGCCCUAAACGAUGUCAACUAGUUGUUGGGGAUUCAUUUCCUUAGUAACGUAGCUAACGCGUGAAGUUGACCGCCUGGGGAGUACGGUCGCAAGAUUAAAAGCUCAAAUGAA
RNAcentral lists this ribosomal RNA (562 nucleotides) under uncultured bacterium. RNAcentral describes it as "partial 16S ribosomal RNA". It matches the Rfam family "Bacterial small subunit ribosomal RNA", at positions 355 to 909 of the family's 1533-position model. The record is from RNAcentral.